Molecule: long non-coding RNA, 692 nt
Organism: Carassius carassius (crucian carp)
Lineage: Eukaryota; Metazoa; Chordata; Actinopteri; Cypriniformes; Cyprinidae
Exons: 5
Source: RefSeq, a predicted model, not a curated record
CAAACACAAACAACAUGUAAAAUUACUGUCAGCACAUGAGUACGUCGAGCCUUGAAACUGCCACGAAAAAACUGUGUAAAAUCUGAUUUAGUGUGUUUGAUAUUACUUCGUAAUUAACAAUCUAACCGUUUCUUUAACGGCUGUCAGGCAGCGAAAAUAUGAGUCGGACAAAAGGAAAAGCAGAAGUUCGUUGGACUCAGCAGCAACAGCAGAAUCGUAGACAGAACUUCUUGAAGGCGGCACCCAUCCUCAAAAUACAAAACUAGAAGAUGGAGAAAAAAAGGUCCAGGUCCACUCCAGGUGUUAAAAAACACAUCUACCCCUCUCCUAGAGACUAAAGCUGUCAUUAAUAGAGGAAUCUGCGAGUAUGUGUACCUGACAAACAGACACUGUCCUGUUCCACUGCACCAUCUUCUCCGGCUGCAAAAUUACCUCCUGAUACACCAGCUCUGCGGCACACUGCAAGAGUGCCUAAAACACCCAAAACACAGGCCACCUGGAUGUUCUUCAGCAGCACUGGAGCAGAGUUCACAGUGCUCUGGAGGAAGCAAAGUGUUCUUUGGCAAAUCCUCCUCCACAACGUGAGUGGUGUUUGGAGUCGAUGUUGGAGUCCUUAUAUCAGCCGGAGGACGGAGAGGGGCGGAGCUCAGAGAGAGGAUGGUACACUCGUGUGUUUUAGGGGGGUGUGCUGA